UUUUAUUUAAUUUUUUUUUUCUCCUGAGCAUUUUGAGAAAGAAUAAUUCUGAUCUGAUUUAUCGAUUAAGAAAAAAACAGGCAUCACCUGCAGAAGGCUGAUUAAGAGAUUUAAGUUUAAUUUGAUCAGUAAUAUGAUUGGCUGAAAAACGAAUUAAACCCAAUUACAGUGAAAUAAAAGGUUUUUUCAUAAUUUAUUUUAAUGGAAGCAUAAAAUCAUUUUGAGUGGGUAGCCAUAGCUGCAAAAUGCAUAUAUAUAUUCAUGAAUUUGUGUGUACAUAAGUGGUUGAAUAUGGUUCAGGCAUUUAUUGUUCUUGGAUUCUUUGUAAAGAGACAAAUCCGACUGGAACAGGAAAGUUAGAUUUUGACCUUCUGGACUCCAUUUUUUUUAUCAUUUGACUUUAAUUCAAACUCAAAUUAAAGAAUUUAAAAUAUUAAAAAUGAUUUUAAUACUACUAAUUAAAGGUUAUUAGCACUUUUAAUUUCGAUUUAGUGUCAUGUGUAAUGAUUUUCAAACUUCACGUGCUGCUCUAACUGGUAAUUCAAAUGUAGAUUACAAUUCAAAGUGAGAUUUUGACAGCAUUUAAAAAGUAAACAAUUAUAUAAAACUAGCAUUCCAUUUAACAAAAAAAAAAAAAAGAUUUU
RNAcentral lists this unclassified non-coding RNA (644 nucleotides) under Hevea brasiliensis (rubber tree). The record is from RNAcentral. Lineage: Eukaryota; Viridiplantae; Streptophyta; Magnoliopsida; Malpighiales; Euphorbiaceae.